Molecule: ribosomal RNA, 492 nt
Filed under: uncultured bacterium
Lineage: Bacteria
Description: partial 16S ribosomal RNA
Rfam family: Bacterial small subunit ribosomal RNA
Source: RNAcentral
AGUGAACGCUGGCGGUAUGCCUAAUACAUGCAAGUCGAACGGCCGCACAGUAAGCUCUUGCUCUUACUGGUGGCGACUGACGGACGGGUGAGGCAUACAUCGGCUUCUACUUUUUCGUGGAUGAUAUCGUAGGGACACUUACGCUACUACCUCAUACUUCCUACGGCUUAAUUCAGGGGAUCUUCGCACCUUUCCCGAUUCUAUUAGCUGAUGUCGCAUUAGCUAGUUUGCUGGGUAAGGGCCCACCAAGGCGACGCUCCGUAGCUGAUCUGAGAGGAUGAUCAGCCACACUGGAACUGAGACACGGUCCAGACUCCUACGGGAGGCAGCAGUAGGGAAUAUUCGGCAAUGGGCGCAAGCCUGACGGAGCAAUGCCGCGUGGGUGAAGAAGGUCUUCGGAUUGUAAAGCUCUGUUAUUAGGGAAGAAAAGAAGCAGGAGAAAACGUGGAUGUCUUGACGGUACCCAAACAAAAAGCAACGGCUAACUUCGUG